Long non-coding RNA from Vulpes vulpes (red fox), 1718 nucleotides. Lineage: Eukaryota; Metazoa; Chordata; Mammalia; Carnivora; Canidae. The record is from Ensembl.
GACUAACAUGAGGGGCUCAUGAGCCCACCUCAUCGGGGACAGUGUGGCAGCGCCGGAUUGACUGGAUGGGCCGGAGCCCUGAGCACCUGCAGCCCACGGAGGGAGGACUCUAGGACUCAUACCUCCUUCCAGCCACCCUGUUCUGCAGCGGAGCCCUGAAGCUCAGACGACCAUGCCUCCCUCUCAGGUCAGUGCAGCAUUUCUAAUCUUGCAAGUCAGGUCUCCCCGCUCCCUCCCCAGGUACCGCUGUGGGGAUGGGACACGCACAUGCACACACCCACGGGGCUUGCAGAGCACCAAGGAGCCAGCUGGGCACUGCCCGCACAUUUGCACAGGCUCCGCUGGGUCUGCUCCAGUCUCGGCCCUGACCUGCCUCCAGCCUCUUUCUGUAGCUGAGGGACCAAGUUCUGCCAGAAGUCAGGGGCUUGCCCAGGUCUCUUACCCCAGGAAGCUGGACUCAGGCCCGUGUUUGUGGCUCCCUUCUGCACAGAAGUUGCGUGAAGCUCCUUUUGCAAGGAGCCAUCUGUCUCGGGAGUCCACGGUGGGAGAGCUCGGGCCAGCUGCUGGGGACUGCUCGGGAGUGUCUUCGGAGUGCACAGAGCUCAGGGGCUCAGCAGGUCAAGAAGUGGUGCUGAUCUGGGGGCUCCUGUCCACAGUUGGCCUUCCUUGCAGUGAAUGCACCCUCACAGUCUGGCCUGCUCUUUCCUGCCCGGCCUGAGCCCACAGGGUCAUUGCCCUGCCAUCCUGCGGGAGACGGGUGCGCAGGUCUGCAGCCCCAGCCUCAGUGUGGGUGCACCCCAGGGGGGCUCGCAGGAUGGCCAGGAUGGCUCCUGGCGCCACCGCACGCCUCUCCGACCGUCCUUGCUCCAGAGACUUCAGAGCAAGGAGGGACGUGGUCAGAGCUGUGUCUCUCCUGUUCGUCUCCAGGUCCUGCCACCAGACGUGGGGGUCCCUAGGCAGGGAUCUAAUGGUCCCACCGCCAAACCUCUGCCCAGGCUGUGCCCUCUGCCCGCAGCUGUGUCUCUCCUCCUCCUGCCACCCUUCAGCAGGUUCCCCCAGUGAUGCCCACAAUGUGCAUGUGCUGCACUCGUGACACCAUCCCCUUUGACGGUUCCCUCUGGCCUCCGCCACGACUGGCCGUGGCCCAAAGGAGAUGUGAUGUGCUCUGUUGCAGAGUCUGGAUGAAAGAGGAGUGCUCAGCCCCGACCUGCUCUGCACGUGAGGACUCUUCUGUCCCUGGGGCCCACCGUCCAGGUGCCCUGCUUGCCUUCAGGGCCCUUUGGGGCCAGCAGUGCUCGAGGUAGCCCCUUCUCUGCCCAGCCAUGAACCAGCGCUUGUGUGCAGUCCUAACGCACCCAGGACCGGUCCUCGACAUGAGAUGCCGCACGGUGAGUCUAGCCUAGAACAAGAACAAAGGCCCAGUGAAGAAAACUAGGGCACCUGGGCCUGUCCCAGGCUGAGCUGGAGGCUGCGGGAGGGGGUGCUUGUGGUGACAGCCAGUGCGGAGCACGGUGUGUGUCUCCUUCUAGCCUCCCCUUCUCUCCCCGUCUCUCCCCACCGUGGGGGGACCAGCACAUGGGCUGGCCUGAUGUACAGUCUGUGUCUCCAGCUGGGGCUGGAAGGGGUUAGCACAGAAGGCUUCGAAGCAAAAGCCCAGGCCUAGGGAGGACAGGCGGGUGCAGAUUGCAAGGCAAGGGGUGUCGGAGUCUGCGCAGUGG